AGCCAAUUAUAGCCCAACUACCUUCUCAAACCAACUUUUAACCAAAACAAACCAUUUGCUAAAAGAAGUAUAGGCGAUAGA
RNAcentral lists this ribosomal RNA (81 nucleotides) under Chalarodon madagascariensis (Madagascar iguana). Its description in RNAcentral is "partial 16S large subunit ribosomal RNA". Lineage: Eukaryota; Metazoa; Chordata; Lepidosauria; Squamata. The record is from RNAcentral.